AUUGAACGCUGGCGGCAUGCCUUACACAUGCAAGUCGAACGGUAACAGGUUAAGCUGACGAGUGGCGACCGGGUGAGUAAUGUAUCGGAACGUGCCCAGUCGUGGGGGAUAACUGCUCGAAAGAGCAGCUAAUACCGCAUACGACCUGAGGGUGAAAGCGGGGGAUCGCAAGACCUCGCGCGAUUGGAGCGGCCGAUAUCAGAUUAGGUAGUUGGUGAGGUAAAGGCUCACCAAGCCGACGAUCUGUAGCUGGUCUGAGAGGACGACCAGCCACACUGGGACUGAGACACGGCCCAGACUCCUACGGGAGGCAGCAGUGGGGAAUUUUGGACAAAGGGCGCAAGCCUGAUCCAGCCAUGCCGCGUGCGGGAAGAAGGCCUUCGGGUUGUAAACCGCUUUUGUCAGGGAAGAAAAGGUUCUGGCUAAUACCUGGGACUCAUGACGGUACCUGAAGAAUAAGCACCGGCUAACUACGUG
This 477-nucleotide ribosomal RNA is filed under the name uncultured bacterium. RNAcentral's name for it is "partial 16S ribosomal RNA". It matches the Rfam family "Bacterial small subunit ribosomal RNA", at positions 30 to 507 of the family's 1533-position model. The record is from RNAcentral.